RNAcentral lists this ribosomal RNA (254 nucleotides) under uncultured bacterium. RNAcentral's name for it is "partial 16S ribosomal RNA". It matches the Rfam family "Bacterial small subunit ribosomal RNA", at positions 524 to 776 of the family's 1533-position model. The record is from RNAcentral.
UACAGAGGGGGCAAGCGUUGUUCGGAAUUACUGGGCGUAAAGCGCACGUAGGCGGACUAUUAAGUCAGGGGUGAAAUCCCGGGGCUCAACCCCGGAACUGCCUUUGAUACUGGUAGUCUCGAGUCCGGAAGAGGUGAGUGGAAUUCCGAGUGUAGAGGUGAAAUUCGUAGAUAUUCGGAGGAACACCAGUGGCGAAGGCGGCUCACUGGUCCGGUACUGACGCUGAGGUGGCGAAAGCGUGGGGAGCAAACAGG